RNAcentral lists this ribosomal RNA (305 nucleotides) under uncultured bacterium. RNAcentral's name for it is "bacterial SSU rRNA". It matches the Rfam family "Bacterial small subunit ribosomal RNA", at positions 333 to 636 of the family's 1533-position model. The record is from RNAcentral.
AUAGACCUACGGGACGCAGCAGUGAGGAAUAUUGGUCAAUGGGAGAGAUCCUGAACCAGCCAAGCCGCGUGAGGGAAGACGGCCCUAUGGGUUGUAAACCUCUUUUGUCGGAGAACAAAACCCGGGACGUGUCCCGGACUGCGUGUAUCCGAAGAAAAAGCAUCGGCUAACUCCGUGCCAGCAGCCGCGGUAAUACGGAGGAUGCGAGCGUUAUCCGGAUUUAUUGGGUUUAAAGGGUGCGCAGUCGGGAGAUCAAGUCAGCGGUAAAAUGUCGGGGCUCCACCCCGGCCGGCCGUUGAAACUGG